This 507-nucleotide ribosomal RNA is filed under the name uncultured bacterium. RNAcentral describes it as "partial 16S ribosomal RNA". It matches the Rfam family "Bacterial small subunit ribosomal RNA", at positions 28 to 523 of the family's 1533-position model. The record is from RNAcentral.
GAUGAACGCUAGCUACAGGCUUAACACAUGCAAGUCGAGGGGUAACGAGAGGAAAGCUUGCUUUCCUUGUCGACGACCGGCGCACGGGUGAGUAACGCGUAUCCAACCUGCCCCCAACUAAGGAAUAACCUUGCGAAAGUAAGACUAAUACCUUAUAAUUUCCUCAGAUGUCAUCUGACGAGGAAUAAAGAUUUAUCGGUUGUGGAUGGGGAUGCGUCUGAUUAGCUUGUUGGCGGGGGUAACGGCCCACCAAGGCAACGAUCAGUAGGGGUUCUGAGAGGAAGGUCCCCCACAUUGGAACUGAGACACGGUCCAGACUCCUACGGGAGGCAGCAGUGAGGAAUAUUGGUCAAUGGGCGAAAGCCUGAACCAGCCAAGUAGCGUGCAGGAUGACGGCCCUAUGGGUUGUAAACUGCUUUUAUACAGGAAUAAAGUUAGCCACGUGUGGUUAUUUGUAGGUACUGUAUGAAUAAGGACCGGCUAAUUCCGUGCCAGCAGCCGCCGUAA